Molecule: ribosomal RNA, 497 nt
Filed under: uncultured bacterium
Lineage: Bacteria
Description: partial 16S ribosomal RNA
Rfam family: Bacterial small subunit ribosomal RNA
Source: RNAcentral
GACGAACGCUGGCGGCGUGCCUAAUACAUGCAAGUUGAGCGCUGAAGGUUGGUACUUGUACCAACUGGAUGAGCAGCGAACGGGUGAGUAACGCGUGGGGAAUCUGCCUUUGAGCGGGGGACAACAUUUGGAAACGAAUGCUAAUACCGCAUAAAAACUUUAAACACAAGUUUUAAGUUUGAAAGAUGCAAUUGCAUCACUCAAAGAUGAUCCCGCGUUGUAUUAGCUAGUUGGUGAGGUAAAGGCUCACCAAGGCGAUGAUACAUAGCCGACCUGAGAGGGUGAUCGGCCACAUUGGGACUGAGACACGGCCCAAACUCCUACGGGAGGCAGCCGUAGGGGAUCUUCGGCAAUGGACGAAAGUCUGACCGAGCCACGCCGCGUGAGUGAAGAAGGGUUUCGGAUCGUAAAACUCUGUUGGUAGAGAAGAACGUUGGUGAGAGUGGAAAGCUCAUCAAGUGACGGUAACUACCCAGAAAGGGACGGCUAACUACGUG